RNAcentral lists this transfer RNA (64 nucleotides) under Longitarsus curtus. Its description in RNAcentral is "tRNA-Asp". The record is from RNAcentral. Lineage: Eukaryota; Metazoa; Arthropoda; Insecta; Coleoptera; Chrysomelidae.
AAAAAUUUAGUUAAAUAUAUAACAUUAGCUUGUCAAGCUAAAAUUAUUAUAAUAGUAAUUUUUU